CCGAGGAAAAGAAAUCAACCGAGAUUCCCCCAGUAGCGGCGAGCGAACGGGGAGCAGCCCAGAGUCUGAAUCAGCUUGUGUGUUAGUGGAACGGUCUGGAAAGUCCGACGGUACAGGGUGAUAGUCCCGUACACCAAAAUGCACAGGCUGUGAACUCGAAGAGUAGGGCGGGACACGUGGUAUCCUGUCUGAAUAUGGGGGGACCAUCCUCCAAGGCUAAAUACUCCUGACUGACCGAUAGUGAACCAGUACCGUGAGGGAAAGGCGAAAAGAACCCCGGCGAGGGGAGUGAAAAAGAACCUGAAACCGUGUACGUACAAGCAGUGGGAGCACCUUCGGGUGUGACUGCGUACCUUUUGUAUAAUGGGUCAGCGACUUAUAUUCUGUAGCAAGGUUAACCGUAUAGGGGAGCCGCAGGGAAACCGAGUCUUAACUGGGCGUUAAGUUGCAGGGUAUAGACCCGAAACCCGGUGAUCUAGCCAUGGGCAGGUUGAAGGUUGGGUAACACUAACUGGAGGACCGAACCGACUAAUGUUGAAAAAUUAGCGGAUGACUUGUGGCUGGGGGUGAAAGGCCAAUCAAACCGGGAGAUAGCUGGUUCUCCCCGAAAGCU
This 613-nucleotide ribosomal RNA is filed under the name Klebsiella pneumoniae. RNAcentral's name for it is "partial 23S ribosomal RNA". It matches the Rfam family "Bacterial large subunit ribosomal RNA", at positions 211 to 867 of the family's 2925-position model. Lineage: Bacteria; Pseudomonadati; Pseudomonadota; Gammaproteobacteria; Enterobacterales; Enterobacteriaceae. The record is from RNAcentral.